GGGGGGAGGCCAGUUCCUGGGCUGUGUUCCCUGGGCCCUGUGCUCCCUGGUCUGCGCUGUUGGAAUUGCGCUCUGGGCCGGGCAGCCCCCU
This 91-nucleotide microRNA precursor is filed under the name Canis lupus familiaris (dog). RNAcentral's name for it is "mir-8799 microRNA precursor family". It matches the Rfam family "mir-8799 microRNA precursor family". Lineage: Eukaryota; Metazoa; Chordata; Mammalia; Carnivora; Canidae. The record is from Rfam by way of RNAcentral. RNAcentral also lists the same sequence under 1 other name.